GGCAACUGUCUUGUAACCACAAGAGGAGUCAGUCUUGAGAUAAAGAUUCUUGGUAAAAUCAUUUAGUCAUCAAAUCAGGCAUACCUGAAGCCGGCCCUCCUCUAGACUUUGUAGACUGCAGCCUUUGGAAGGAAGUAUACAGCACAAAUGUCAAGAGUGGAUAAUUUUCCUCCCCUUCUUGAGAGUGAAGCAUCUGUAAAGUGUGAGAAGAGAGCAAGAAAUGGAAAGAACUGCUAAGUAAAAAGUAACCAGAAUUGAAGAUUUGGAAAAUUCUCAGUCUAUGCAUAUGGCAAAAAAUGAGAAAGUAUGUUCUGGAGAGAAC
This is a long non-coding RNA of Acinonyx jubatus (cheetah), 322 nucleotides long. RefSeq lists it as uncharacterized. The record is from RefSeq and is a predicted model, not a curated record. NCBI's taxonomy places the organism in Eukaryota, Metazoa, Chordata, Mammalia, Carnivora, Felidae. The transcript is spliced from 3 exons.